RNAcentral lists this transfer RNA (72 nucleotides) under Bos taurus (domestic cattle). It matches the Rfam family "tRNA". From Rfam's summary of the family: Transfer RNA (tRNA) molecules are approximately 80 nucleotides in length. Lineage: Eukaryota; Metazoa; Chordata; Mammalia; Artiodactyla; Bovidae. The record is from Rfam by way of RNAcentral. RNAcentral also lists the same sequence under 4 other names.
UCCCUGGUGACUCAGCUGGUAAAGAACCUGCCUGUAAUGCAGGAGACCUGGGUUCAAUCCCUGGGUGGGGAA